UGGCGUAGCGCGCAAAGCCUCGGCUUGCUAAGCCGAAGGUUCCGGGUUCGAUUCCCGG
Molecule: transfer RNA, 58 nt
Filed under: Habropoda laboriosa
Lineage: Eukaryota; Metazoa; Arthropoda; Insecta; Hymenoptera; Apidae
Rfam family: tRNA
About the family: Transfer RNA (tRNA) molecules are approximately 80 nucleotides in length. Their secondary structure includes four short double-helical elements and three loops (D, anti-codon, and T loops).
Source: Rfam by way of RNAcentral